AAUUGCAGAAAUAGUGCACAACAAGAAAAUAAGUACAAAGUUGCUACUUCAUAACCAGUGAAAACAUAAUAAUUUACAUAAAUACAUAAAGAUAUACACAAGCAUAUUAACUCAGUUUUUACUUUCGCAGGUGUCCGGAUGAUACCUACGAUCGUUUGUGGUGGCCAUCAAACGGUACCUCACGGUGGCUGAAUCUAUCGACAACAAGUGAAAUUAAACGUUAUUUAACUGAUACAGCUGAGGUGCCAAUUAGAGUGCUCCAAACUGCCGUCACCUCGCUUACCACCUCCAUCCCUCUCAACUUGUCGUGGGCAGUUCCUUCUGCCUGGCCGGCCAUGGCACCGCCUGGGUACUACCUCAAUUUGUAUUAUACUGAUUUCCAGAAUCAGAGCAGGCGGGAAUUUGAUAUAUAUUACAAUGGCUUCCUGUGGGAGACAAAUAAUCGGCCGGUCAGCCCAACCUAUCUCUUUGCAGACUAUACAGCUGCCACAGCUCUAUUCACUGAUGCCAGCGGUUUCUACAAUGUCUCCAUAAUCGCUACCAACACCUCUGUGCUCCCUCCCAUACUAAGUGCAUACAAGAUAUACUAUCUCAUCCAGCAUGAUGAUACCGCAACCGAUACACAAGAUGGUACGUCCAGAUUCCGAUCUCCCUCGGUUCCAGCCAACGGAGAAGAGUUCUCUGCAUAAUUGUGAAGUCAUGAUUUGCCAUUUUCACAUGUGUUAAGAGAAAAUGAUAAAUACGAAGAUGCAAAGAGAAACAGCUAAGACCUAUUCUGAAUUAAAAAAAAGGCAAGAAAUUUAGGAUAAUGUCUGGUUCACCAUAGGGUCCUACAGAUGAUACACUUCACACCAUUCCAAAUAUUGAGACGUAAAGUCAUUUGUGCAAACACGAACACGGCAGGUAUCCAGUACAAAAGCCAAUUUUGGGCACAAAGCAACUUUUGGCUAGGUAUCGGAUCAACACUUACUUUCUUACAAAUAAGUUCUAGAUGUAGUUCAUGGUGUGUGGUGCCAUUCUUUAAAAUUAAACUUCAAAUUAACAGUGUGUUAGAAGACAAGACAAGUUUGCUCAGAACACAUCUACCUUUCAUUUAAUUUUCCUAUCCUUUUUAUUUAUAACUUGUCAGAAUUUUCUUACCUUUUCUACUCUUUAUAUAGAUUAUGUUGAAUAAACGUAAACUUGAAACACUAAAUGUAUAAGGCUAGUAAUUUUCAGAAUUUUCAUGCUGAUUUGGUACUUAAACUAAAUCUUUGCACUUCUGUACCAGAUACCUAUGCAACAUUCAGCUUCUUGAACUUCUCACUUGUUUCUCUUCAUUGCAAAUGAUUUUCCAUCCUAACUAGCUGCACAUAACUAUAUGUACUUCAUGUGUUCAUUCACAACUUUUCCAAUGCUAUUUGGUAAAGGAUGGGGACAUGUAUCUCUACUCGGGAAUAGUAAUUGCAUUUGCCCCUACCGAUUUCCAAGUUUAUCAAUUACUUUAAUCAGGACCCUGUAGCCCUUCUUUCAAGGGGUUACAACCAGCACCAUCUCUGCAUUUCAUGUGUACUUCAUACAACAAUCAUAUAUACUGCUAAUACUUCACACAUCAUGUGUAUAUUCAUUGUAAUUUCAGACUGGUUUUAAUUCUGAAAUCUGAAUAGGUAAAGAAAUCUUUAAACUGAAGAAGAAAAGGAGAAACAUCACAGAUAACUCACAUAGGAAUACCAGAUUGUAGUAUGCAUUGCAAAUUAAUAACUUCUUUUCAGUUCAUAAGGUUAAUAGGGUUGUCCCUAAUUAUACUAUUGUAGUAUAUGCUAAUUUCAUGCUUUCUUCUAUCAUUUUUAUUCUACUUAGUUGAAGCAAUGAUGAAUAUCAAAAGUGAAUACCAAGUUGAGAAGAACUGGAUGGGUGACCCAUGUUUACCCGAAAAAUAUACAUGGAUUGGAUUGACAUGUAGAGGUGAUGGAGUGACAUCAAGAGUAAAAAGUUUGUAAGUCUAUGGUUAAUUUUGCUCAUACUACUUUCGAAUUAAUAAAGCUGGCACUGAAUUUUGGUUCCAAGUGUGUGAGAUUAUCCAGAUUUAAACCCUAACUCUAAAUCAUCCAGCGGAUUAAUUAUUGUUUUUCCAACAUAGUAGCACUAACAGAGCACAUCAUUUUUUCAGGGACAUGUCCAACAGUGAUUUGCAAGGUGCAAUAUCUGAACAAUUUUCUUUUUUGAAAUCACUCCAAUACUUGUGAGUAUAAUUUUAUAAAAGUUUGUUUUCUUAGUUAAUAGCUCAAAAUUCUGCUAGUAAGUGGUAUGUUUUCAAAAUCUAUUUCAGGAAUUUGUCAUUCAAUAAUUUAUAUGGACCAGUGCCUGAUUCUUUGACAAACUUAUUGUCCCUUCGUGUCCUGUAAGUCCUAUACUUUGGCAGUUUAUGAAACAAGGCAGUCAUAUAGAUUGAUAGGGGAUGAUUUGUUGUCUUUUUUUUCUGCAGCGAUCUAUCAGGGAAUCAUCUUGAUGGUCCAAUUCCUGAAGCUUUAUGCAUGGCACGCUCACUUACUUUAAGGUUUGGAUCUCUUUCUUCUCUUUGAUUUUGCUCCAUAGAUGCUGAUACAAUUUUAAAGCAGACCUCCUUGAGACCGACUUGUAAGAAUUGGAAUGCAACAUCUACAGAUUUAGGGUGGAAUAAAAAGCAACAUAUUAAGUGUUUAUUUUUAGACUCGAUGUCUAGUAAAUCAACCUCUGGAACAUCCAUAUAUGCCUUCAUCCAAUUCAUUAGAGAAUUUUUUUAUGUAAUUUUAGGUAUGACACCAUAAAUGGAGAUCCAUGCAAUGGAAAAUCACCACAUAAGGAAAACACCCUCCUCAUAACUGUCGUAGCAGUACCCGUGGUGAUAAUGGCAUUGCUGGCAUGUACAUUGACAGUGUUUUGUUUCUGCAGAAAGCAAGGUAGAUAUAUGUCCUGUUAAUUCUUACAAAUUUGGUUUAUUUCAAGAUAUGAGUUCUAAUGAUUUCAACCUUUUCCCUUUGCUGCAACAAAUGAUCUAUCAAGAUACAGUUCCAAGUGUGCUACUGGGAUGUGUUGAUCUGCCAGGUCCCAAAAGUCAAGAAAACUGUAAAGGUCACAUACACACAUCCGACAGCCGUGAAUUCACAUAAGCAGAGUUGGUUGCAAUAACAAACAAUUUUUCCGCAUGCAUUGGUGAAGGAGGUUAUGGACCUGUCUUCCAUGGCCAAUUAAAAGAUGGUACUCAGGUUGCUGUCAAGAUGCAUUCUCCAACAUCAGCAACAGGAAAAGGAAUGGAAGAGUUUUUAGCUGAGGUAUUUAAUUUGAAUCUAUAGAGUAUGACAGGCAAUUUUUAUAAGUAUGCAUUCCAUGCAGAAUAUAGAUUCAAUUGUCCAAGGAUUUUUCAUGUUAUUCGUAGUAUACUGAAAAGAUUUGUGAAAUUACGGGUAUAUGAAGUUUGUAGAUCAUUAGGUAAGAUAAAAUAACAGGUGGAACUAAUAAAUGCAUAUCAAUAUUGUAACUUGCAAGGUGAAAGGGAUAACGAUUCCAUCACUUCCAUACAUAUAUCAUUUUGAAACUGACUUUCAGAACUAAAAACACUUCUGCAGGGUCUCAGACUCUAAAUUUAUUUUAUUUUAUUUUGUAGGUUGGGAGCUUAACAACCGUGCACCAUAGGUAUCUCGUUGUGCUGGUUGGCUACUGCACUGACAAGGACCAUUUAGCUCUAAUUUAUGAGUACAUGCCUAAUGGAAGUCUUUAUGAUAACAUACGAGGUUCGUAAUUUGCAAAUUCCAAAAUUAUAAUGCCGGACUUCCUUGCAAAAUCCCUUUCCUGAAGAAAAAAAAACUAUGAUUAGUAGUACUAUGUAUCAUUGUUCUUUAGAGAUCAUGCAAUGUACAAAACUAUUUACAUGAUUUUAAGCCUUCAUUAAAUGCAUCUUGUGUCACUCACUUUGCAACCGCAUCCGAUAAAUUGUUAGCUUUUACAACUUCAAUUGUGAUACUUCAGGCAGAAAUGCAAUUGUUCAGACACUGGGAUGGCAUGAUCGAGCACGGAUUGCACUUGAAGCUGCUCAAGGUGUACUCUGGAGGAAACACUGCAUUUCUUGAUUUUGCCAGUUAAAUGCACAAGCAAUAUAUGAUAACAUGUACUAUCUUACAUAGGUUUGGACUACUUGCACACGGGAUGCGUAUUACCAAUAACUCAUAGAGACUUGAAGGCGCACAACAUUCUUCUAGGACAUGACAUGGUUGCUAAGAUCUCAGAUUUUGGAUUGUCCAAGUCAUACAUCAAUGUGGCACAAAGUCACAUAUCUGUGACAGCUGCAGGAACUCUAGGCUACAUCGAUCCAGAGUUUGUUUUCAUACCUAUUCUCUUAGAAUCAUGUAAAAGUUAUUAGGAAGUAAAAAACACUUCACUAUAAAAAAAGGUGCAUUGAAUUAUAUUAUUUUUUACUAAAAUAAAGGCCUCAUAUUAGGCAAUCAGGCCUUUGUAAUGAACCCAUGCAUAUGUAAGCGUCUUCGAUUUAAACACCAAAUUAAUAUUAGAAGUUCCCACCAAAAUUAGUUGUGCCUCGCGAUUUACUAUAGCUGUGUACGAAAUAUCUAAGUUCAGACUCAUUGAAUGUUAUGAGUAACAAAAAUGUGGAAAAUCCGACAAAUGGCACAUUAAAUGAAAAAGAAAAACAUACAUACUAGUACAUCGUAAAAUAAAAAUAAAAGAUUGUGCAUAUUUGGUGCCUAAACUAGAAGUAGAUUGCAGCUGCACAGCAAAGGGUGAUUGCAUAUGAAUCCUGCUAACCAGGCAUUGUUGGCCUAUGUGUGCAUUGCUUCAUUUCUACUUAACUUCAUAAAAUUCAAAUGGUUUUCACAGAACGAACUAACCAGGCACAUUGGCCCAACUGCUCUUAUCUAGGUACUGUGUUAGCGGCAGGCUCACCACAAGCAGUGAUGUCUUCAGCUUUGGAGUGGUUUUACUAGAGAUUGUCACAGGUGAACCUCCAAUCUUGCCGACCCCUGUGCAUAUUGUGCAGCGUGUAAAGGAGAAGGUUAUCAUGGGCGAUAUUGAGGCAAUUGUUGAUCGAGGACUUCACUGUCAAUAUGACUUCAGUUCUAUUUGGAAGGUUGUGGACAUGGCCCUGCUUUGCACAAGAGAGGUAUCCAGUGAGAGGCCAACAAUGAGUAUGGUGGUGGCUCAGCUAAAGGACGCUCUAGCACUGGAAGAAUCACGUGUAAGUUCAAGCACCAUUAGCCAAGUCGGUUCUAAUGUGGACCUGUCAAUCAGCUGGGUAGCAUCAGGAAGAUGAAGCCUAAGUGAUCCAUUCUGAAAUUACUCUUUAAAUAUUGGUGUAUUCAUGGACAUUUGUGCCUGUCUAAUGGAGUCCUAGACACGUACGCUACAACUUGAGAGAUGUAUCUGUGACAUAUAGCAUAUCAUGCAUUCUGUAUCCUAUAGAACUAUGCAAUGUCUGAAAGUUUAGCUUUCUAGGUGAUGUCUUGAGAGUAUUUCAAAGGUCAAUCAGAAAUACUACCUGAAAAACCUAUAACAGGAUGUCAGAAUUGCCACUUCCAAGUUUGGAAGUUCUUCUGCAAACUGGAGCAAUAUGUAAAGCUUAAAAGAUUACCCGGGUCUGUAUUUUCUGUCACAUCUCUCCAGCAGAAUAUCCUGUUGCAUACAUACCAAACUCUGUUCAGGAGCAUCUACAAGCAAAUGAAAGACAGCUCUCCAAUGUUGAUGACAAAAAACAAGACGAAAUAUGAUGAAUUCUCAGUUGCUAAUACGAACAAGCACAAACCAUUCGAACCUGCAAUUCGCUAUUCACAGCUAAAAACGCCAGGAAUUCGAUUGAGCCCGAGUUAGCCCAUCUGGUGCGUAGCAAUGCAUAGCGAAAUCAUGCUGGAAAAUAGUACAACUGCAACACAUGGAUAUGGAUCAAAAUUUGAAGCAUUCGAUGAAUCAGGUUGCGGUGUAACCUACCUCGACAAGGAUACGCUACUGCAAACUGUGGCAGGAACUCGAAGCCUCGCCACCAGCACCAGAUGGGGGAACAUGGCCGCGGGGAAUCGGAGGGGAGCUGGCUAAUCUCGAUGGCCACCUGAGGCUGUGUAGGGCGUGGGCCGCGCCGCCGCGGGGCGCGCACCGCUCACUCUGGCGACUCGCAAGUCAACGCCCAAGGAAGCGUUUUUUUUU
Molecule: long non-coding RNA, 6165 nt
Filed under: Triticum aestivum (bread wheat)
Lineage: Eukaryota; Viridiplantae; Streptophyta; Magnoliopsida; Poales; Poaceae
Description: long non-coding RNA (TAES_LNC007255)
Source: RNAcentral